RNAcentral lists this ribosomal RNA (1287 nucleotides) under Flavobacterium sp. RNAcentral describes it as "bacterial SSU rRNA". It matches the Rfam family "Bacterial small subunit ribosomal RNA", at positions 56 to 1354 of the family's 1533-position model. The record is from RNAcentral. Lineage: Bacteria; Pseudomonadati; Bacteroidota; Flavobacteriia; Flavobacteriales; Flavobacteriaceae.
UGCAGUCGAGGGGNNUUUAUCUUCGGAUAGAGAGACCGGCGCACGGGUGCGUAACGCGUAUGCAAUCUACCUUUUACAGAGGGAUAGCCCAGAGAAAUUUGGAUUAAUACCUCAUAGUAUAUAGACCUGGCAUCAGGAUUAUAUUAAAGUCACAACGGUAAAAGAUGAGCAUGCGUCCCAUUAGCUAGUUGGUAAGGUAACGGCUUACCAAGGCUACGAUGGGUAGGGGUCCUGAGAGGGAGAUCCCCCACACUGGUACUGAGACACGGACCAGACUCCUACGGGAGGCAGCAGUGAGGAAUAUUGGACAAUGGGCGCAAGCCUGAUCCAGCCAUGCCGCGUGCAGGAUGACGGUCCUAUGGAUUGUAAACUGCUUUUAUACGAGAAGAAACACUGCUACGUGUAGCAGCUUGACGGUAUCGUAAGAAUAAGGAUCGGCUAACUCCGUGCCAGCAGCCGCGGUAAUACGGAGGAUCCAAGCGUUAUCCGGAAUCAUUGGGUUUAAAGGGUCCGUAGGCGGUUUAAUAAGUCAGUGGUGAAAGCCCAUCGCUCAACGGUGGAACGGCCAUUGAUACUGUUAGACUUGAAUUAUUAGGAAGUAACUAGAAUAUGUAGUGUAGCGGUGAAAUGCUUAGAGAUUACAUGGAAUACCAAUUGCGAAGGCAGGUUACUACUAAUUGAUUGACGCUGAUGGACGAAAGCGUGGGUAGCGAACAGGAUUAGAUACCCUGGUAGUCCACGCCGUAAACGAUGGAUACUAGCUGUUGGGAGCAAUUUCAGUGGCUAAGCGAAAGUGAUAAGUAUCCCACCUGGGGAGUACGUUCGCAAGAAUGAAACUCAAAGGAAUUGACGGGGGCCCGCACAAGCGGUGGAGCAUGUGGUUUAAUUCGAUGAUACGCGAGGAACCUUACCAAGGCUUAAAUGUAGAUUGACCGGUUUGGAAACAGAUCUUUCGCAAGACAAUUUACAAGGUGCUGCAUGGUUGUCGUCAGCUCGUGCCGUGAGGUGUCAGGUUAAGUCCUAUAACGAGCGCAACCCCUGUUGUUAGUUGCCAGCGAGUCAUGUCGGGAACUCUAACAAGACUGCCAGUGCAAACUGUGAGGAAGGUGGGGAUGACGUCAAAUCAUCACGGCCCUUACGCCUUGGGCUACACACGUGCUACAAUGGCCGGUACAGAGAGCAGCCACUGGGCGACCAGGAGCGAAUCUAUAAAACCGGUCACAGUUCGGAUCGGAGUCUGCAACUCGACUCCGUGAAGCNGGAAUCGCUAGUAAUCGGAUNUCAGCC